This 576-nucleotide ribosomal RNA is filed under the name Hanseniaspora uvarum. RNAcentral's name for it is "eukaryotic LSU rRNA". It matches the Rfam family "Eukaryotic large subunit ribosomal RNA", at positions 66 to 660 of the family's 3401-position model. The record is from RNAcentral. Lineage: Eukaryota; Fungi; Ascomycota; Saccharomycetes; Saccharomycodales; Saccharomycodaceae.
CUAGAUCGAUCCUUAGUACGGCGAGUGAGCGGUAAAAGCUCAAAUUUGAAAUCUGGUACUUUCAGUGCCCGAGUUGUAAUUUGUAGAAUUUGUCUUUGAUUAGGUCCUUGUCUAUGUUCCUUGGAACAGGACGUCAUAGAGGGUGAGAAUCCCGUUUGGCGAGGAUACCUUUUCUCUGUAAGACUUUUUCGAAGAGUCGAGUUGUUUGGGAAUGCAGCUCAAAGUGGGUGGUAAAUUCCAUCUAAAGCUAAAUAUUGGCGAGAGACCGAUAGCGAACAAGUACAGUGAUGGAAAGAUGAAAAGAACUUUGAAAAGAGAGUGAAAAAGUACGUGAAAUUGUUGAAAGGGAAGGGCAUUUGAUCAGACAUGGUGUUUUUUGCAUGCACUCGCCUCUCGUGGGCUUGGGCCUCUCAAAAAUUUCACUGGGCCAACAUCAAUUCUGGCAGCAGGAUAAAUCAUUAAGAAUGUAGCUACUUCGGUAGUGUUAUAGCUUUUUGGAAUACUGUUAGCCGGGAUUGAGGACUGCGCUUCGGCAAGGAUGUUGGCAUAAUGGUUAAAUGCCGCCCGUCUUGACCC